CAGCCGCCGCGGGAAAACGAAGGGUGCAAGCGUUACUCGGAAUUACUGGGCGUAAAGCGUGCGUAGGUGGUGGUUUAAGUCCGUUGUGAAAGCCCUGGGCUCAACCUGGGAAUUGCAGUGGAUACUGGGUCACUAGAGUGUGGUAGAGGAUAGUGGAAUUUCCGGUGUAGCAGUGAAAUGCGUAGAGAUCGGAAGGAACAUCUGUGGCGAAGGCGACUAUCUGGGCCAACACUGACACUGAGGCACGAAAGCGUGGGGAGCAAACAGGAUUAGAUACCCCAGUAGUCCCUGUCUCUUAUAU
RNAcentral lists this ribosomal RNA (301 nucleotides) under uncultured bacterium. RNAcentral describes it as "partial 16S ribosomal RNA". It matches the Rfam family "Bacterial small subunit ribosomal RNA", at positions 509 to 809 of the family's 1533-position model. The record is from RNAcentral.